AGAAAUUUAAGAGCCGCGGUAUUUUGACCGUGCAAAGGUAGCAUAAUCAUUAGUUUUUUAAUUGAGAACUUGUAUGAAUGGUCGGACAAAGGAAAAGCUGUCUCUGUUAUAAAGAUUGAAAUUAACUUUUAAGUGAAAAGGCUUAAAUAAUUCAAGGGGACGAUAAGACCCUAUAAAGCAUUUUAUUGGGGCGAUAAAAAUAUAAUUAUUAACUGUUUAAAAGUUAUACAAUAAUAGUUGAAAAGAUCCUUUUUAAUGAUUUAAAGACUAAGUUACUUUAGGGAUAACAGCGUUAUUUUUUUUGAGAGUUCAUAUCGAAAAAAAAGUUUGCGACCUCGAUGUUGAAUUAAAAUAUCUUUAUGGCGUAGCCGUUAUAUAAGAGGGUCUGUUCGACCUUUAAAUUUUU
Molecule: ribosomal RNA, 406 nt
Filed under: Parthenope longimanus
Lineage: Eukaryota; Metazoa; Arthropoda; Malacostraca; Decapoda; Parthenopidae
Description: partial 16S large subunit ribosomal RNA
Rfam family: Bacterial large subunit ribosomal RNA
Source: RNAcentral